This 1683-nucleotide long non-coding RNA is filed under the name Bos indicus x Bos taurus (hybrid cattle). Its description in RNAcentral is "lncRNA (ENSBIXG00005017924.1)". The record is from RNAcentral. Lineage: Eukaryota; Metazoa; Chordata; Mammalia; Artiodactyla; Bovidae.
AGACACCAGCUCCGGCGCUGUCGGUUGGGCACGUCUACCUGAACCAGGAGGUGGACCCACUUUGGGUCCCGUCUUCCUGUUGUCAGUCUCUGGAGCCGGGCAGGUGGGCCUCACCCGAAGCAGGUGAGCCUCUUCCUCCUGCCCAAGAGCCCUGCAGAGAUGCCCCAGCACCCAUUUCUUGUGGAAACUCCUCUCAGCUGGGCACCGUGUGGGAGGAGCUGGGAGGUGAGCCCUGGGUGCCAGCCGGGCAAUGGUGGGGGGGAGCUGGGGCCAUGUGGCUCAGGAGAAGAGGGGACCGUGUCCAGCCCCGGCCCCUGGACGGUCUCCGCACGGUUUGCAGGGAACCUGGCCCCGAGUGUGGUGGAGCUUCACCCGUGGGCCCGUUGCAGCCUGUGGCCCCCCGCCCCCCCCCCCCGGUUCCAUGCAGCAAGGGCGCGGCUGAGGAAUCAAUGGAAGCAGGCCAGCUGGCCCCUCUGCAGCGGGGCGGGCGGCCUGCGUCCUCCCCCAGCAGGGAGGGAGGGGAGACGAGGGACUGGAACCCCUCCCCCCACGGCAGGGCUUCACGGUGGUGCCCUCUGCCCUCCCUGCCUCUCUGCAAAUAGGUCCUGCCAACCUCAGAUCCAGGUGAGGACGCCCAGGGCCCAGAGAUUACAUAGGUUUCUAGAGAUUAAAUGGGGGGAAUGUGCCGACACCAGCUCUGUCCGACCCCGAUGUCAGCCUCCAGCCCCUCUGCCCAAGGCCGUCGUGGGCCUUCAGGGACCAAGCCGUUCCCAAAGCCCUGCCCUCCACAGCCCAGCUCGGUGGACAGGGCAGCACCCUCAUCCCUGCCCCUCACGAUGCUCCUGGCCCACCGGGGCCCUUCAGGGGUCCGGAAUGAACAACACACAAAUUCACAAAGAGCGCGGAGGAGCCAGCAGGGCUGAGCAUGCCCGGCACAGUGGGCAAGGGCGCCUGGGGUCCUGUGUCCUCAGACACCUGGGUGGGCUCAGGCAUCCCACGGAGGCCGCCUUGCGGGGAGGUGAGUGUUUGGCCUCCAUAGGAAGCCUCAGUGGGAGGCCCACCUGCCGGCCAGGACAAAGCAUCAGACACACCACUGGGCUCAGACGCCAGGGCCUUGCAACCCCUUGGUGUGGGCAUGUCCUCCAGGCUGGGGCGGCUGACGGCACGUGUCGCCCCUCGGGAGCCCCAGUUCAGGCUCUGAGCGGGACAGCAGUCCCUUGCUCCUCUCAGCUGGGCAGGGGGACUCGAGGUGGACCCAACUCCACAUGCAUCCCUCAUCCCCCUCGAGAAACAGGACGCUGAGGUAUCAGACGACUCCAAGCCCUUCCUGCCCCAGUCCCUGUGAUUUUGUGAUAGUCACCCAUUUUGUGAUUUGGUGAUAGUCUGAACAAUUCGAGCGUGAAAUUCUACCCCUGGACACACAAGUGUCUGCAGGGCCAGUGCCACGGGGAGCCCCCACAUUAGAGCUUCACCCCAUCGCCUCUAAGUGGACGCUGAGGUCUGUAGUGUCACAUAAAGCACCAAUUAAACGUCUCCAGCAAGCCUUGCGUUUUAUCAAUGUGUGACAUUCACUUUCAGUAAACACAGCGCUUUGCUGGUGCAAAUGUACCGGCAGGCGUGCAGCUGGGCGCCGUCCCCCGGCCCUGGAGGACGCUCCCGGGCGCCCCACCCCCACCCUCGCAG